This 376-nucleotide ribosomal RNA is filed under the name uncultured bacterium. Its description in RNAcentral is "bacterial SSU rRNA". It matches the Rfam family "Bacterial small subunit ribosomal RNA", at positions 521 to 896 of the family's 1533-position model. The record is from RNAcentral.
UAAGACGAACCGAGCGAACGUUGUUCGGAAUCACUGGGCAUAAAGGGUGCGUAGGCGGGCCACCAAGUCUGUGGUGAAAUUCUCUGGCUUAACCAGAGUAGUGCCGCGGAUACUGGGGGCCUCGAGGGGGGUAGGGGCAUGCGGAACUCUGGGUGGAGCGGUGAAAUGCGUUGAGAUCCAGAGGAACUCCGGUGGCGAAGGCGGCAUGCUGGACCUUUUCUGACGCUGAGGCACGAAAGCCAGGGGAGCGAACGGGAUUAGAUACCCCGGUAGUCCUGGCCCUAAACGAUGAGAACUAGGUAGUCGGCCGGACAUGGGCUGACUGCCGGAGCUAAUGUGCUAAGUUCUCCGCCUGGGGAGUAUGGUCGCAAGGCUG